AAAGGGGUAAAUUUUUAAAUACCACUUCUGUAGUUUCGCACUUAUUUAUUUUACUAUCAUGUGGUUGGUUUCGUUUUUAUUUUUUCGUCAGCUUCUCUAUUAAUAUUUUGUUAAAUUAUAUAUAAAAAUUUUCAAAUACUCCACCUAGAGUUAAUGAAUAUUCACUUUAGUAUCAUAAAGUUUUAACUUUAUUAUUGAUUUAACAAAAAAAAAAUUAGUGAAAUCAAUAAUAAAAAAAUAAAAAUAAAACCAUAAAAUACUAAAUUAAUACAUUUUUAACUACAGAAUGAUAAAGUGAGAAAGUGUGAAACCACAUGAAUGUUAUUUGAAGUUUUUCUUUUUUUUGGCGAAAGUAAAGUAAUAUUUGCUCCUUAGGCAAUCAUAUUGACAAACAUGAGUAGAUAAAUUAGUAGGAAAAAUUUUAAAUAUCAUUUCUGUAGUUCGCGUUUUCUCACUUUAGUAUUCCGUGGUUUAAAGUGAAUCACUUUCGUACCCUAUGAUUUUAUUUUUUUCUUUUUAUUGUACCAUUCACUAAUUAUUUUCGUUAAAUCAGUGACAAAGUUAAAACUAAAUAGUAAUAAAGUGAAUAUUCGAUAAACUAUAGAUGAGAUAUCUAAAAUUUUUUGUAUAUGAUUUAACGAAAAGUUAAUGGAGUAAUUGACGAUAAGAAAAAAAUUAAAAUCACAAGACACUAAAUUGAUAAACUUCAAAUCACAGAAUACUAAAAUGAGAAAGUGCGAAACUUUUUCUCUAUUUAUCUUAUUUUAGCGUAUUUUUCUUUGCCCCGGCUGUCUCACCUUGUAGUCAAUUUUAUUUUCUAAAUAAAUAAAGCAAUAACACGCUAUUUUUUCUUAAAAAAAAAAUUACAAAAUUACAUUAGUGAUAUUUGAAGUUUACGAAAAAUUAGUAAAGAUUGACAGAUGGUGCACGGAUGUACAGAU
This 941-nucleotide long non-coding RNA is filed under the name Ananas comosus (pineapple). RNAcentral describes it as "long non-coding RNA (ACOM_LNC019072)". Lineage: Eukaryota; Viridiplantae; Streptophyta; Magnoliopsida; Poales; Bromeliaceae. The record is from RNAcentral.